UUACUAGUAGAAGUAAUAGCAGUAGUAGUAUUACUGGUAGAAGUAAUAGCAGUAGUAGUAUUACUAGUAGAAGUAAUAGCAGUAGUAGUAUUACUGGUAGAAGUAAUAGCAGUAGUAUAUUUACUAGUAGAAGUAAUAGCAGUAGUAUUAUUACUAGUAGAAGUAAUAGCAGUAGUAUUAUUACUAGUAGAAGUAAUAGCAGUAGUAGUAUUACUAGUAGAAGUAAUAGCAGUUGUAGUAUUACUAGUAGAAGUAAUAGCAGUAGUAGUAUUACUAGUAGAAGUAAUAGCAGUAGUAUUACUAGUAGAAGUAAUAGCAGUAGUAGUAUUACUAGUAGAAGUAAUAGCAGUAGUAGUAUUACUGGUAGAAGUAAUAGCAGUAGUAGUAUUACUAGUAGAAGUAAUAGCAGUAGUAGUAUUACUAGUAGAAGUAAUAGCAGUAGUAGUAUUACUGGUAGAAGUAAUAGCAGUAGUAGUAUUACUGGUAGAAGUAAUAGCAGUAGUAGUAUUACUAGUAGAAGUAAUAGCAGUAGUAGUAUUACUGGUAGAAGUAAUAGCAGUAUAUUUACUACUAGUAGAAGUAAUAGCAGUAGUAUUAUUACUAGUAG
This is a long non-coding RNA of Ictalurus punctatus (channel catfish), 607 nucleotides long. Lineage: Eukaryota; Metazoa; Chordata; Actinopteri; Siluriformes; Ictaluridae. The record is from Ensembl.